This 3759-nucleotide long non-coding RNA is filed under the name Helianthus annuus (common sunflower). RNAcentral's name for it is "hypothetical non coding rna". Lineage: Eukaryota; Viridiplantae; Streptophyta; Magnoliopsida; Asterales; Asteraceae. The record is from RNAcentral.
GACAACUUCAUUCAUCAUCAGCAAAGGAUUACAAGAGAAAUGGUUCCAGCAAGUUGCUAGCUUCCAUUUGCCAGAACCUAUUUUACACCCAAACCAAAUCAAGAACAUUAUUAUAUAUAUCAAAUUACAUCGUAUGAUUGCGCUAGUGGUUUUUUAGGCUUACAAAUUUGGCCACCGUAGUUUGUCUUUUGAAAUUGUUGCACCAAUAAAGUAAGAGAGAGAUUGUUUCCUUCAAACCCUGUGCACACAACUACAUGCAACCCCUAUGCUCUCCUUCUUCUUCGAUUACACACCCACCCACCCCUGAUUCCCACCUCUUCACCAACGAUUAGCUAGUGCCGGCCGAAAUUCCCGCCACCGGCGCCCCCUCUCUCCGGCCGUCGCUCACCCACAAUCACAUGCAACUCCUCGAUCACCUGCAAACACCCCCCUUCAUCUUAUGUCUCCGGCACACAUACACCACACGCACACCCUGGUUUCUUCCGGCAACGAGACGAACAGAGAGAGAGAGAGAGAGAGAGAGAGAUCGGGGAUCGACACGGAAGACCAGAGUGUGAGAGAGAGAGGAGGAACACGCUGACGUCACUCCGGCGGCCGGAAACGGCGACGAGGCCGAUGACGCCACAUGGAGAUGAUUAUGAUGACGGUGCCGUUGAUGAUGACCUCAUUUCUCCGGUAAGAGCACCUGCGUUCCUUCGAUUUUUUUUGGGUAAAAAUUUCCACUUAAAAACAAAGCAGACCCAUUACCAUUUACAAUUUACACAUUCAGGUAUACACAUUCAGGUACGAUGCUAUGUUGAUAGUAAAAUUGUCAAUUUCUGCUUUAUGUGUUUUAAUAUGAUCUUGGUGCUACUUUCGAUCUACUUCAUAAACAUCAUAAUUUUCCAAAGACUAGAUCUGUAGAUACCUUAAUGAUUGCAAUAGCAGCCUGCUGGAGCACUUGAGAAGCUUUUCUUUCUUUCUUUAACUCAUUUAAUCAGCCUUUAGUAUAUGCUGGUAGGUUUUUGCCAUUUUGAUUAUGGUUUGUGUUUCAUUUUGGCAUUGACUAAAAUUGUUCAAUUUUUGUUUACCAUAACAUCCAUGUAUAAAUAUACUGAGAAAAAAACCUCAAUUUAAAUGGAUAAAUGCAUAAUUUCAUGUUUUUAAGUGUUUGCUUCCAACAAUGCAAAUCUACCCAUCUCAAAGAAAUCAUCUUAUUCAUGAACAACAAGGCAAUCGUGAUAUUUUGAAGGAUUCAAAAAAUUUAGCCAAGCAAAGAAUUAUUAAUUCUUAACAAAAAUAGGUCGAAGCAAUUCGCUGUCAUAAAAUCCCAAUGACCCGUUAUGUGCAACUCGUGGUAAAAGAACUGUUAUUCGUUUGUGGUACAUUGACCCGUCAUGUUAUAAAAACACUUCAAUUAGAAAUACUUCGGGUAACACAACACAUUAUGUUUUUUUAUUUAUAUCUACUUGGUUUAUGCCAUAAUGAUUUUUGCUGUGGUCGUAGGCUUAAGGGUUUUACACCCACUUCGUCAUUCGGUAUAAAUUCGAGUCUGUCAAUGUCUUUACGUCACAUAAUUCACUUGAUCUUUUUUCCGGUUUUGAUCAUUGUUGGGUUACUACUUAGCAUGUUUUUACGCCUCCAACCUCUAAUAGCGCUGCUUUACGCACCCCCCCCCCCCGCAACGCGGGGGGCUCAAUUCCAGUUACAUAUCAAACAAGAUUAAAUGUCACUAAACUCUCCCCGCACAUAUUGUUUGUCUUUUGCCCUGUGUUUAAACCAUAGGAAAGCUAGAGCCUACAAGUCGCCAAAUUUUUGUUUACUUCCACCCUUUUUCCAACGAAUAUACGGAAUGGUUUCAGUUAAUGCACUUUAUUUAAACAAUUAAUACCUAGAUAGUGGAGGAUUCAAAUGAGAAAAAUGUUUUGUAAGGAGAGAAAAUAAGAAGUUUCAACCAAUAAAAACACAUCAUUUUACUUCAUUUAAUAUUUGCAUUUAAUAUUAAUAUAAGGGUAUAUUGGUAAACUUACAUAAAUCAUUAAUUUGUAUUCUUCAUUUUUAAUAACUAACUAAAUAAAAUUUGUAACUCCUUUUUAAAAUAUAUACUUUUUCCAAAUUAAAAAAAACAACUUAAUUUAAAGUGUAUAAUAAAUGAAUAGUUGUGUAUGAUAAAUUACGAGUUGUGUAGAAUAUAUUUUAAGGUGUGUAGGAUAAAUUUUGGCUGUGUAGGAUAAAAUUCUAUAAUGUGUAUGGUAUAUGUAGGAAGAUUUUGAUAUCUAAUUAAUUAAAGAGAGAAAAAUUAAUGACAUAAGUUAUAAAUGAAAUAGUAUUUUACUAAUAUGUUUUUUUUUCUUCUCACAUUAAAUUUCUUCUCAAAUGAAUCUUCUUUAACAUUGAAAUAGCUUAUCAUAAACAUAAAAAUAAUUAAUGCAAAAUAAUUUAAAACAAUUUCUUGAAAAAGUCAAUAUCUAUACUAUAUUAUAAUACACGAAGGAAGGAUUCCCAAAAGUUAAGAACUUCUUCCCCCAUUAUUUAUAAAUAAACCCCUAGAAUGAGGGUAAAGUGGUCUUUUAAACCAUAAUUAUUUUUCAGUCCCUCAAUCUAUUACAUUUAAAUCCUUGACAUUUAACAUAAUUAUGGGUAAUUAGUUACACUCCCUCCCCCCUCUUUAAUUCUUUAAUGUAUUCCUGCGAUAUCUUACAACCCGUAAUGUUUUAAAAAAAUCCGAAGGUACCAUGACGAUCGGCCCAUUUUUUUAAACGUUUCAAUAGUUGUCUUUUUUAGUUUCGCCGUGCGUUCAUAAAGUACAAAUAGCCGAUGCGUAAAUGUACAAUUGAUUAAAGCCAACAUUUGUUUUUUUACCCAAUCCAGCUUUGACCAUUACCUAGCUACCGUACAUUAACAUUUUUUUUUACCCAAGUUUUUUAUUUUGAACGACAUUAAUAAACUAAAAUAUUCCCUAAUUUUACUUGUACAAAGUCAGUUUGUUGUGGUAUGUUUAAUAUAGUAAGUAUAGAUAAAACUCACAACAAACUUCCUAUUAAACACGCCACAACAAACUAAACAGGAUAUGUGCAUCUUAUUUUAAAAACUUAAAACUCACAACAAACUUCCUAAAUAAAUGGAUGACCAAUCUAAAACUAAACCCUAAUAGACUACUAUAAAUACAUAGCAAACACUCACAAUUCUACAUUUCUAUUGCUAAACAGAUUUAAAAUAUGGAGCCAGUUCUUAAUUCACUUGAUGCGAAAAAACAAGCAUGCGAUAUUAAAAAAUCUAAGAUUCAACACACCAAUUUAAACACCCCAGUUGUCGAACAAGCUUUUGUUAGUUUUUAAGUAAUAUUGUCGCUUAUAAUCUUUCAUAUUAAUAAGUUCGUUAUGUUAUUAUUUGGUGUUUUAUUGUAGGAUGAUGGUGAUAAUAGUGUUGAAAUUAUUUCUUAUGGUGCAAUGUUCAGUCCAUACAAGUCUAAGCUUCAACGUCAAUUUAAUGAAGAGAUUGGAAGUAUGAGAAUCAAAAGAAAAGAUCUAAGAGACUCUCUGAAUGGAAAUGGGUCGAGGUUAUAAAUUUAGAUGAUUCUCAGGACGAUGAGAAAGAAGAUGAAUUAGAUGAUACUGCUGAUUCGAGCACAAACAAGAAAAACGGAUCAAAAAAGUAGAGAUUUUAGAUGAAAUAUAUCAAGUGUUUUUAUGUUUUUUUCAUUUUCAGUUGUUUUUGUUUGAUAUAGACUAUCCCAUGAAUAAUAAAGUUUAUUUUAUAUUUGAAAUUUAUGUUUUGUGU